This 460-nucleotide ribosomal RNA is filed under the name uncultured bacterium. RNAcentral describes it as "partial 16S ribosomal RNA". It matches the Rfam family "Bacterial small subunit ribosomal RNA", at positions 338 to 795 of the family's 1533-position model. The record is from RNAcentral.
CCUACGGGUGGCAGCAGUGAGGAAUAUUGGUCAAUGGACGAGAGUCUGAACCAGCCAAGUAGCGUGAAGGAUGACUGCCCUAUGGGUUGUAAACUUCUUUUAUAUGGGAAUAAAAUGUUCCACGUGUGGGAUUUUGUAUGUACCAUAUGAAUAAGGAUCGGCUAACUCCGUGCCAGCAGCCGCGGUAAUACGGAGGCUCCGAGCGUUAUCCGGAUUUAUUGGGUUUAAAGGGAGCGUAGGUGGAUUGUUAAGUCAGUUGUGAAAGUUUGCGGCUUAACCGUAAAAUUGCAGUUGAAACUGGCAGUCUGGAGUACAGUAGAGGUGGGCGGAAUUCGUGGUGUAGCGGUGAAAUGCUUAGAGAUCACGAAGAACUCCGAUUGCGAAGGCAGCUCACUGGACUGCAACUGACACUGAGGCUCGAAAGUGUGGGUAUCAAACAGGAUUAGAUACCCGGGUAGUC